AGAGUUUGAUCAUGGCUCAGAAUCAACGCUGGCGGCGUGCCUAACACAUGCAAGUCGAGCGAGAAAGUGGUAGCAAUACCAUGAGUAAAGCGGCGCACGGGUGAGUAACACGUGACUAACCUACCCUGGAGUGGGGAAUAACUGAGGGAAACCUUAGCUAAUACCGCAUAAUACCCACGGGUCAAAGGAGCAAUCCGCUCUGGGAGGGGGUCGCGGCCGAUUAGUUAGUUGGCGGGGUAACGGCCCACCAAGACGAUGAUCGGUAUCCGGCCUGAGAGGGCGCACGGACACACUGGAACUGAAACACGGUCCAGACUCCUACGGGAGGCAGCAGUGGGGAAUUUUGCGCAAUGGGGGAAACCCUGACGCAGCAACGCCGCGUGGAGGAUGAAGUCCUUCGGGACGUAAACUCCUUUCGAUCGGGACGAUUAUGACGGUACCGGAAGAAGAAGCCCCGGCUAACUUCGUGCCAGCAGCCGCGGUAAUACGAGGGGGGCGAGCGUUGUUCGGAAUUAUUGGGCGUAAAGGGUGCGUAGGCGGUUUGGUAAGUCUUAUGUGAAAUCUAUGGGCUUAACUCAUAGACUGCAUGAGAAACUGCCGGGCUGGAGUGUGGGAGAGGUGAGUGGAAUUUCCGGUGUAGCGGUGAAAUGCGUAGAUAUCGGAAGGAACACCUGUGGCGAAAGCGGCUCACUGGACCAUAACUGACGCUGAUGCACGAAAGCUAGGGGAGCAAACAGGAUUAGAUACCCUUGUAGUCC
Molecule: ribosomal RNA, 758 nt
Filed under: uncultured bacterium
Lineage: Bacteria
Description: bacterial SSU rRNA
Rfam family: Bacterial small subunit ribosomal RNA
Source: RNAcentral